This 466-nucleotide ribosomal RNA is filed under the name uncultured bacterium. RNAcentral's name for it is "partial 16S ribosomal RNA". It matches the Rfam family "Bacterial small subunit ribosomal RNA", at positions 28 to 507 of the family's 1533-position model. The record is from RNAcentral.
GACGAACGCUGGCGGCGUGCUUAACACAUGCAAGUCGAACGGAAAGGCCCUGCUUGCAGGGUACUCGAGUGGCGAACGGGUGAGUAACACGUGGGUGAUCUGCCCUGCACUUCGGGAUAAGCUUGGGAAACUGGGUCUAAUACCGGAUAGGAGCCAUCUUUAGUGUGGUGGUUGGAAAGUUUUUUCGGUGUAGGAUGAGCUCGCGGCCUAUCAGCUUGUUGGUGGGGUAAUGGCCUACCAAGGCGGCGACGGGUAGCCGGCCUGAGAGGGUGUACGGCCACACUGGGACUGAGAGACGGGCCAGAGUCCGACGGGAGGCAGCAGGGGGGAAUAUUGCACAAUGGGCGCAAGCCUGAUGCAGCGACGCCGCGUGGGGGAUGAAGGCCUUCGGGUUGUAAACUCCUUUCGCUAGGGACGAAGCUUUUUUGUGACGGUACCUAGAUAAGAAGCACCGGCUAACUACGUG